This is a long non-coding RNA of Cyprinus carpio (common carp), 1210 nucleotides long. Lineage: Eukaryota; Metazoa; Chordata; Actinopteri; Cypriniformes; Cyprinidae. The record is from Ensembl.
AUGGGGGUGGACACCUCUUUCAAACUCUGUCUCUCUCUUUUUCUCACGUCAUAUGUAAUGACCAGACAAAGGUCUGGUGUUUAUGAGGAAGAGGUAUGGACCCCUAAAUCAGUUUGUUUGCUGGUUUCGCCCGUGGAAAUGACUGCGUGCUGCACAGAGAGGGACCAUUCAGAUGCAGAUUUAAAACAGACUGUGAAACAGUCAUCCUAGCCAUACAGAUCCAGUCUGUAUCCAGAUCAGAUGGUCAUCGUGGCCACCCAGAUCCAGAUCAAUCGGCCCUGCAUUAAUGCAUUAAUGUUGAGUUUUAUUAUUUUUGUAAAUUGUACUCUAUUCACAGAUUGGAUUUUUAUUUAUUACAGUUUUUCACUUCUGAAAAGUGAAUACAAAUUAUACUUGACUGAUUUACAGCAGUGAAUUAAUGCCAUUAAAAGAUAAUAAGGUAUCACUGUUUAUUGCUGAUUUUAAAGCUUACUGAACUUUAAAUGAUUUGGACAUCUACAGUUCUACAUAUACUGUAAAUGCACAACAUAAGAUUGGCCCCUCUUAGAAUCUCCCCUGGAUACCUGCAAUGCUAUGGCCUUUGUGUAGAUUAGGGGUGCAUGAUAAAUAUCGGCCGAUAAUUAAUGCGCAUGUCGUCAGUAAAGCCAGUUCUCUAAUCAGCGGUAAAUUCCAUCAGGUGCUUGAUUUCACAUAGAGCAGUUGUUACUACACAGAGCCAUUGUUAACUGACAAUCUGCGCAAAUCCACGCUGAAAACUGGCUUUACUGAAGAGAUGCGCAUUAAUUAUCGGCCGAUAUUUAUCAUGCACCCCUAGUGUAGAUAUUUAAAGAUGGCCAUCUUUAAGCAUGACUUGAAAUGAAAUGGUAACACUCCAUUUGUUACGUUAACCACAACAGCUAAAGUCUGUCUACACUGGAUGUGAUAAAGUGACUUUUGCAAAUCAUUUGAAUUUUGUGUCAGUAAAUCACCGCGUCAGAUCCAGUGUAGACAGCAUCACUGAUUUUAAUGGGUUCUAUAGUAUUUUGUUGCAUCGUGCUGUGCCGGAGAAGACACGGUUUAAGACUAUGUUUUUUAAAUAUGCCGCAUAUAUCUAACAAAUCUAAUGUUGUUGUCUCUUAUGCGCAAAAUAGUAACUGUAAUAUUGUGAAAUUUGAAUACAAUUUAAAAUAACUGUCUUCUAUUUGAAUUAUGUAAUCUUAAAAUGGAAGGC